RNAcentral lists this ribosomal RNA (433 nucleotides) under uncultured bacterium. Its description in RNAcentral is "partial 16S ribosomal RNA". It matches the Rfam family "Bacterial small subunit ribosomal RNA", at positions 29 to 507 of the family's 1533-position model. The record is from RNAcentral.
AACGAACGCUGGCGGCAUGCCUAACACAUGCAAGUCGAACGAAACCUUCGGGUCUAGGGGCGCACGGGUGCGUAACGAGUGGGAACCUGCCCUUAGGUUAGGAAUCACUCCCCGUAGGGGGUGCUCAUACCGGUUAAUGUCUUCGGGCCAAAGAGUUCUCGCCUUUGGAUGGGCGCGCGUGGGAUUGGCUAGUUGGUAGGGUAAAAGCCUGUCAAGGCGAGGAUCCAUAGCUGGUCUGAGAGGAUGAUUAGGAGCACUGGGACUGCGACACGGACCAGACUCGUACGGGAGGGAGCAGUAGGGAAUAUUGGACGAGGAGCGCAAGCCUGAUCAAGCAAUGCCGGGUGAGUGAUGAAGGCCGUAGGGUUGUACAGCCGUCUGACCCGGGAUGAUAAUGACAGUACCGGGAGAAUAAGCUCCGGCUAACUACGUG